RNAcentral lists this ribosomal RNA (392 nucleotides) under uncultured Scuticociliatia. Its description in RNAcentral is "partial small subunit ribosomal RNA". It matches the Rfam family "Eukaryotic small subunit ribosomal RNA", at positions 30 to 432 of the family's 1831-position model. Lineage: Eukaryota; Ciliophora; Oligohymenophorea. The record is from RNAcentral.
GCUUGUCUCAAAGAUUAAGCCAUGCAUGUCUAAGUAUAAGCUAUUUAUACGAGUGAAACUGCGAAUGGCUCAUUAUAUCAGUUAUAGUUUAUUUGAUGGUACUUACUACAUGGAUAACCGUGGUAAUUCUAGAGCUAAUACAUGCUAUCAAGCCCGACUUCUUGAAGGGUUGUAUUUAUUAGACUUAAGCCAAUAUUCCUUGUGUCUAUUGCGAUGAUUCAUAAUAACUGAUCGAAUCUCAAAUUUGAGAUAAAUCAUUCAAGUUUCUGCCCUAUCAGCUUUCGAUGGUAGUGUAUUGGACUACCAUGGCAGUAACGGGUAACGAAGAAUUAGGGUUCGAUUUCGGAGAGGGAGCAUGAGAAACGGCUACCACAUCCAAGGAAGGCAGCAGG